RNAcentral lists this microRNA precursor (76 nucleotides) under Chinchilla lanigera (long-tailed chinchilla). RNAcentral's name for it is "miRNA (ENSCLAG00000021333.1)". Lineage: Eukaryota; Metazoa; Chordata; Mammalia; Rodentia; Chinchillidae. The record is from RNAcentral.
GGGGCUGGGCCUCUGUGCCUGUAUCUAUGGCCUCUGCUCUCGCCCCACAGGCCCAGCUGAUAGCCCAGUCCAUCGG